This is a long non-coding RNA of Zonotrichia leucophrys gambelii, 1400 nucleotides long. RefSeq lists it as uncharacterized. The transcript has 4 exons. NCBI's taxonomy places the organism in Eukaryota, Metazoa, Chordata, Aves, Passeriformes, Passerellidae. The record is from RefSeq and is a predicted model, not a curated record.
GCAGGAUGUUUGUUCCCAGUUUGUCUCUGCAGACCCUGCAGCUGGGAUCAGGGAUGUCCCCAGGGCAGGGACAGUGCUGUGAGGAGUGCAGGGCCCCACGUGCUCCCGGUGCCAGCCCCGAGGUGCCGCAGCAGCAGGCCCUGGCUGUCAGUGCCCACUGACAGCCCCGAGUGCCCUGGGGAUGCCAUCCACUGAGGACAGCCCUGUCACCCUCUGCCCUGCACCAUCUGCUUCCAGCCCAGCACAUCAGGCAGCACUCCCUGCCUCCCCAGCCAGCGGGGGAUUCCAGAGCAGUGAAAAGGAGAUGCUGAAUUUGCUCAGCGACUGUCCCCAGCAGGGCUGAGUGUCACCUCCAACGUGGGGCUGCCCUGAGAGCCACAGCAAGGACUGUGCCUGUCCUCCUGGGGGUCACAGGUAGGAUUGGUCCAACAGCCCAGGCAGGUGAUGAAGAGCCUGAUCCACACCUCUGGGAGAGCAGAGCCAAAAUCUGGGAGCUCAAACCCCCUUUGCCAGGAGAAGACACCAUGGCAAAGCAGGGCCCAGCUGAAUCAACACCCUGCCUCCAACAGGGACCUUCCAGCGUGUCCCAGCUCAGGAAUUGCCCCUCAUCCUCCAGGUGGGACCUCUCUCCAAGCCACAUCUCCCUGCAGGACCAGCAGCACCCUCACUGUGGGUCACCCUGUGCUGGAAUCCUGUGCUUGGGUGAGUUCUCAGCACCUGAGAGAUGCAGCUCAGCGAUCCAGAGCCUUGCUGGCACUGCUGGGAUUGCUGGGAGCCAUCCCUGCUCCUGCAGGGGUUGAGGCUCAGCAGCACUGAUGAAUGUGCACAGAUCUCUUUAAUGAAAUGCUGAAUGAUAGGCUGAAUAACUGAGCACCUUUAGCUUGAUUUAUUGCGUGGAAGUGAGGAAUGCCUGUCCCUGCUGUCAGCCAUCUUGGCUGCCAACAGAGGUCAGGAGCACUAAUUGUAGCUAAUUAACAUUAAUUAGACUGGGGAAAGACUGGGUCUGCUCUCCCCAGUGAUCCCCAUCCACCCCAGCCCUCCAGCACUCCCAUUCCCUGGGAGCAGGCUGCUCCUGGUAAUCCAAAUCCAUCUGAGAUCAUCAGCUCCUGCCUUUCCCACCUUUCUCACCCUGCUCAGAGCAGGAGGGUGAGACCUGCCCGGCCCCAUGUGCAGCUCCCUGCUCCCUUUGGAGUGUGUCCCAACCCUGGAGUGCCUGCUGGGGGACACCUGAGUCCAUCCACCCUCAGCAGCUCACCUUGGGCUCACAGGAGAUCCUGUCCAAGGGCACUGGGGCUGCUCGGGGCUCCCUCUGUAUUUGGACAGCCCACGAUCAUUAAUAAAGCAUCAAAGGCUCCUGAGGGGGAGAGUCUGAAACUUCCUCAAAAAACCACACGUAUAUU